This 48-nucleotide non-coding RNA is filed under the name Trypanosoma brucei brucei. Lineage: Eukaryota; Euglenozoa; Kinetoplastea; Trypanosomatida; Trypanosomatidae. The record is from RNAcentral.
AUAAAUUACAAAACAAGUGCAGAGAUUUCGAUAAAUGAUGGUAUAAUU